AGGCAGGCUGUUUGGAGUUUCAUAUUACUGUAUAUACUGCAUAUAUACGGUGGGAGGGGGGGGGGCAUCUAUCAACACUGCAACACAAUGGUUAUCAGCAUGUCCUAAUGGCUGUAGCUGCUGGUUGGAUGCUCUCAAUGUCCUGCUGCAUCUGCUGUUGUUUCAAUCACAGAAAAAAAAAAAAGCAUGCUCAACUAAGGGAACCAGAUGAGGGUGUGACGUCAUCCAACGAGACAGGGGACAACUGAUGGACCUCUGAGACUUCAUACAUUAUGUCAAUCUACCUAUUAUUUCAACAUACUGUGUGGAUUAGUCCACAUCAAAUACAGUGCCUUGCGAAAGUAUUCGGCCCCCUUGAACUUUGCGACCUUUUGCCACAUUUCAGGCUUCAAACAUAAAGAUAUAAAACAUAACAUAAACAUAACA
Molecule: long non-coding RNA, 426 nt
Organism: Oncorhynchus tshawytscha (Chinook salmon)
Lineage: Eukaryota; Metazoa; Chordata; Actinopteri; Salmoniformes; Salmonidae
Source: Ensembl